Molecule: ribosomal RNA, 509 nt
Filed under: uncultured bacterium
Lineage: Bacteria
Description: partial 16S ribosomal RNA
Rfam family: Bacterial small subunit ribosomal RNA
Source: RNAcentral
GACGAACGCUGGCGGCGCGCUUAACACAUGCAAGUCGAGCGAGAACCAGACCUUCGGGUCUGGGGACAGCGGCGAACGGGUGAGUAACACGUGGGUAAUCAACCCUCGGUACUGGGAUAGCCCGGGGAAACCCGGAUUAAUACCGGAUGGCCCCUCGGAUCUUCGGUUCUGAAGGAAAAGGUAGCUUCGGCCUCCGACCGAGGACGAGCCCGCGGCGGAUUAGCUUGUUGGUGGGGUAACGGCCUACCAAGGCGGCGAUCCGUAGCUGGUCUGAGAGGACGAUCAGCCACACUGGGACUGAGACACGGCCCAGACUUCUACGGAAGGCAGCAGUGGGGAAUCUUGCGCUAAUGCGGGAAACCGUGACGCAGCGACGCCGCGUGAGGGAAGAAGGCCUUCGGGUUGUAAACCUCUUUCAGGAGGGACGAAGCUACUCGGGUUAAUAGCCCAGAGGGUGACGGUACCUUCCGAAGAAGCCCCGGCUAACUACGUGCCAGCCGCCGCGGUAA